UUACCACCAUGACUGCAUGAUGGCGACACAAAAAGAAGCGGAGCCCCCAGCUGUGAAUGGAUCCGACCAGGAGCUUCCAACACAACAGGAGCUCUGGGAGCCGACACCGGAGAGGGGACAUGUGGAUGUCCUUCUAGAUAUUAGCGAGGAGGACUUCAUGAAAGAAAUGGAGCCACACGAGUAUCACUGUUACUCCGGUUUGGAAGAAGCUGUUCAUGGUUGGGCAAGAGUUGCUCCACUGAGCUGUAUAUUUUUGACUCAAAAAACCUGCAAAAAAACAAAGCAGGCUGACAAGCCAAUGCCCUUGUGCGUUGACCCGGCAACCCCUGAUGCCAACAGCUCAACCUGGAUCGCAGAGAACCGCUGUGAGUCUCAUGGGGGCCCGCAAAACAGCUUCAAGAAAUCCCUCGCACCGAACCAGCACGCGGGCUGCUCGGGUAACACCGACUCGGCAGCUCUGCAGAAGGAUGCUUCAGAAUGGCCCGUCCUCACUCCCAUCCAGACAACCACGUCAAAACCUCCACUCAAAGAAAAGGCCGAGAGGGAAGAGGCACUCAGGGCCACGUCUGCGCUGGCUCACCACUUCCGCUCAAAAUACUCGGACAACGGAGCAGCUAAGCCUCAGAAACACAGGCCUCAUAUGAUGUUUCCCAUUAAAAACUUAACAUUUUUACCACCAAUUACGUUACAGCCCGCGAAUCACCGGAAAGCCAGUGGCAAGAAGGCCCAAGAAGGGGGAUCUACAGGGGGAAAUAUCUUCAAUGCCAAGAGCAGGAUGAAGGCAGCUGGCGUGGAGCACGUUGUUGACCCUGAGCUUCCCACUUACUCUGCAGUCCUGACCUCCAAGUACCGGCCAUGUCAGCUCAACCCCGACUUGUUCUCUGCACCCAAUAGGUAUCAAGUACCCAUGUCUUCCAAACCUGAGACCGGGCACCGCCAUAGCUACGCACUGGCCAGGAGGCUCGCACAGGUCCUCCAGUCCAGCGCAGCAUCAGGUCCACACGCCCACGUGUACCCGAGCAGGACUAUUUCCCACGAGUUCUUCUUCAGCUGUUGCAGUUACCUAGCAACGGUGCAGCUACCUCAUAAGGAGCGAGGCAGUGCGUCUGCUUCCACUUAA
Long non-coding RNA from Gasterosteus aculeatus (three-spined stickleback), 1120 nucleotides. The record is from Ensembl. Lineage: Eukaryota; Metazoa; Chordata; Actinopteri; Perciformes; Gasterosteidae.